UCUGGCGGUACUCACGGCAUCUGUAGCAGCGGUGGGUGUACCAAUAUGGCAGCCGUGCCCGGCUGUCGGCGGUUGCUAUGGCUACCGCUCGCGGGAACUCCCAGUCAGUCAGAGUCAGCGGCGGCGUUCAGCCGCGAAGUGUGAGGCAGCCUCCUCUGUCUGAGUCUCAGGCACUGCAGGAGCUAUGUUUCCCGAACGUUCUCCAGUCAGUACCUGGGUUCCUAUGAGCAGCAGAUGUAUUCGUACUUCCUUCAGUUGCUGGAAAGAAUGCAGCCCACACAUGUAAAACAAUAAGAUGCUGCAAGACACAAAUGGGUGCAAGUGUCCGCUUUUAACACAUCUGUAUACGGGCAAGAGGGCAAAUCUGAAAGUUCUGGAAUAUGGCAGAACAGACAAAGGAAGAUCCAGCAAUAUUAAUUUGGAGUACGACGUGUGAAGUUAUAAUUCCUGAAAUGAUUCCUGUUGCCAGUAAGAAAAAAAUAUGCACAGGCGACAUAUAUAGUAUCACUGAGAGGUGUAAAGUUCUCCUGACCAUGACAUAAGAUACAGUUAUAAACAGAUUGUUUUGUGUUAGGAGAUUGAAUUUCAUGAAACAUAUAUCCACAUACACAGCCUUCUUCAAAUACCCACAGGUCAAUGCAUAAAGUUUCCUAUACAGCGCAAUGUUUGAAUAUUAAAAUGUUGUAAUAUUAGGCUAAUUACAGCUGCCGAUUCCUAUAAAUACUUCUAGCAAAAUCCUCUGCAGAACGCUAGCUCCUAUUUUUAGCCUGCAUGCUUGUCGUCAUGAAAAAUGGGUAAAUUGGAGAUGUUGUUUCCAAACUGAACAUUUCCCUUCCUUUGGUUUCAAUUAACAGUUUAGUGUUUGCAGCCUUUGGGUAUUGUAAGGAAUCAUCGGUGGUGGUUGGAAAGUGUGUUUUUUAUUGCUAGGAUGUGUGGCCUCUUGUCAUCUUCUGUUAGUGCUAUAGCCUGUGACGUACCACAGUAAUAGCACAGCUUUAUACAACAUGCCUUAGACUUUUCAGUACACAAAUUAUUAAAG
Molecule: long non-coding RNA, 1039 nt
Organism: Pseudophryne corroboree (corroboree frog)
Lineage: Eukaryota; Metazoa; Chordata; Amphibia; Anura; Myobatrachidae
Exons: 5
Source: RefSeq, a predicted model, not a curated record